This 2155-nucleotide long non-coding RNA is filed under the name Heterocephalus glaber (naked mole-rat). RNAcentral describes it as "lncRNA (ENSHGLG00100050621.1)". The record is from RNAcentral. Lineage: Eukaryota; Metazoa; Chordata; Mammalia; Rodentia; Bathyergidae.
UUUCCCGAGGCCUCUGAUUGGUCAGCUUGCACAGAGCGGAGUCCGACGAGGGAAGAUGGCGGGCCGCAGGCUCGCGGGGACCCUCUGAUGGAGCAGUGGGUGCCUGUGACCCCUGAGACCCUCUCAGAGGCGCUGAUAUGUGCCGAAAUGCCCACUCCAAACCGGGCCCCGCACUGUCUGCAGCCACAGAAGAGAACCGCAUGCUUCACAACAGAGCUGCAUAGUGUCACAGGUGGUGAUGUGAAAGUAUCCCAGAACUCGAGAGCAAGAGAGAAAGAGGGACACCGAUCCUGAGACACAGAAUACCUCCGUGUUGGGUCCCCAUCUCCCACUGGCUACCUUCCAUGGUGUGCAGUCUUAAAACUGAAACAUGUGCCCAGGACAAGACGAGAGUGGCAUUAACACUGCAGUACUAGAUGAGACCUCUUCCAGGUCAAUUUAAUUCCCAAGAAUCGAGGCCAGAUCACAUGGAAACAUCUUGUUGCUUUGAUAGAGAUGCUUUUAACCUAAUGUCACGUUUCUCCGCUUGGGACUUCUCUGUGUCUCUUCUGCCUCUCAUACAUUCUUAGCUGUUCACAUUCUGGCAGUGAGGACAAGUAGUUUAGAGAGGGACAUGAGCACCAAGAAGAAGCUCAAUGAGGUGCAAAGAAAAGGCAACAGCGACAAUGGUGCUUGUCUCGAGCAUUACUUCCUUGAAAGACACCAGGGAUCCAGCCUUUGGAGAGGAGGAGCCAGAAAGGAACAUCGCUCAUCACAGGCUGUAGUCUCUAACCAUGCGUCUCUUCAGGCCAGGAAACAGGGUUCUUGAUCUCUGUCUUUUGAGACUAUUAGAGUACAAGAUGUGACCUGAAACCUGAGCCUGGUUAUCUCCCUCUCCUGACGUCAGCUUUGCUUUAGCCCAAGCCAGGCUUGCAUGCAGCCUGCUGCACCGGCUGACAUCUGGCAUGGUGGCCUGGACCAGCCUCCACCUACUCGCUUCCACAAUUGGGAUCAUGGGUUCGCAGUGUGAUGGGGUUGGAAGGAACCCUGGAAGGUGUUCUAGCUUAUUAAAUGCCUGAAUUCCCUUCAUGCCAGUCUCGAAAGUUGGUUAUGAUUUCUCCCCAACUGCCUUUGAAGAAAGACAAGAUGAAGGAACUAUGUCAUGGGCUCUGUGCAGAGAUAUCAUGUUAACAAACUCACAUCACUUCUGUGAGUUCUUGCUGUGUUUUUUAACAAUCAACAGAUAAGAAAGUUCAAUGUACAAGAGUGAGAAGUCAUGGGAAGAUUUUGAUAUCCAGUCUUUUUUGGAACACAAAUCUCAUGCUUAUUUACAUGGAAACACUUACAUUUUGAUUCAGGGAACACCAAUUACUUGGCAUGAGUAAAAGAGUUGAUUGAAAGGGUAAGGAGAGCUGGCUGCAAGCUCAGAUCUCUUUGAAAGAGUUUAUGAGUGUGUUUACUUCAGGAAUGCCGAUCCCCUAAACUCAGCAAGACCAAUGAGAUGGAAGAAGCAGCUUGUGGAGACACUGCUUGGAUACAGCCACUGACCUACUCAGCUGGAAGCAGGGAGAGAAGAGGGUGGUGACCCAACUGGAGAUAAGAAUGAAGUAGACUUAGGAGCAGAAGCUGUUGAUUUGGUUCUAAAGACAGGAUGGACGCUUGUGGUUUCUAGCAACCCACCAGUAGACAGGUUUUUAGACACUUGAAAUGUGAAUCUCAACUGAGGACACUGUUUGGGUGGUGCUCAGUCUGUAAGUGGUGGUAAAAACCAUUAACUCCGUUUCAGGAGUCAUGAGAGGUGUAGAAAGAGGAACGGUGAUCAGAAUCUAACAAGAACAACUGCCUUAGGUUGUAGGCUUUCCUAUAGAAGAAACUCACGAACAAUGUUAUCGUAUCGAUGCUGUGCAACCAAAGAAAGCCAUGUUAAUCUGCAGUUCACACACCCUAAGUAUGUUACGUAAUUCUUUUACUCACAAUGAAAUAUGCUAAGGAAAGAAAAUAGACAGAACUUGAAUCCUUACAUCCAAUAAAUUCUCAAUAAAAGCAUAAAAACCUCAAUACCUCCAAUUCCUUUUCAGAAUACGAUGUAGAUCUAUUUAUGUUAACCAUGAGCAGGAAAUGUGACUUUUAAAAAAUUUCUUACCAACAUUGGAGUGAAGUGAACCAAAAGAAAGAG